Molecule: ribosomal RNA, 460 nt
Filed under: uncultured bacterium
Lineage: Bacteria
Description: partial 16S ribosomal RNA
Rfam family: Bacterial small subunit ribosomal RNA
Source: RNAcentral
CCUACGGGUGGCAGCAGUGAGGAAUAUUGGUCAAUGGACGCGAGUCUGAACCAGCCAAGUAGCGUGAAGGAUGACUGCCCUCUGGGUUGAAAAUUCUUUUUAUAAAGGAGUAAAAAGAGGCAUGUGUGCCUUUUUUCAUGUACUUUAUGAAUAAGGAUCGACUAACUCCGUUCCAGCAGCGGCGGUAAUACGGAGGAUCCGAGCGUUAUCCGGAUUUGUAGGUGUUAAAGGGAGCGUAGAUGGGUUGUUAAGUCAGUUGUGAAUGUUUGCGGCUCAACCGUAGAAUUGCAAUUGAUCAUGGCAGUCUUGAGUACCGUAGAGGUAGGCGGAAUUCGUGGUGUAGCGGUGAAAUGCUUAGAGAUCACGAAGAACACCGAUUGCGAAGGCAGCUUACUAAACUGCCACUGACAUUGAGGCGCGAAAGUGUGGGUAGCAAACAGGAUUAGAUACCCUUGUAGUC